Molecule: small nuclear RNA, 250 nt
Filed under: Suricata suricatta (meerkat)
Lineage: Eukaryota; Metazoa; Chordata; Mammalia; Carnivora; Herpestidae
Description: U2 spliceosomal RNA (ENSSSUG00005018883.1)
Rfam family: U2 spliceosomal RNA (bases 1-118)
Source: Rfam by way of RNAcentral
AUCGUUUCUCGGUCUUUUGGCUAAGAUCAAGCAUAGUAUCUGUUCUUAUCAGUUUAAAGGAGUGCUAGACAGGGAUUUCUUAGACUCUCCCUCAAGCGGGGCUUGGAGAAGAUCUCUCAGUUGAGAAUCCGAAAUGAUUUUCUCAUGAUUAGACUGAGGUUUCGCGUUUGGGGCAGGAAGGCCAUGUAAGAGAUGAGUUCUCUUUACAUCCUAUCAAUGGUAUAUAGUUAUUGCUUUUGAUGUUAACUUC